GAUGAACGCUAGCUACAGGCUUAACACAUGCAAGUCGAGGGGAAACGACAUUGAAGCUUGCUUCGAUGGUCGUCGACCGGCGCACGGGUGAGUAACGCGUAUCCAACCUGCCUCUGACCAAGGGAUAACCCGUCGAAAGUCGGCCUAAUACCGUAUGCAGUCGUCGGAAGUCAUCUGAUGACGACGAAAGAUUUCAUCGGUGAGAGAUGGGGAUGCGUCUGAUUGGCUUGUUGGCGGGGUAACGGCCCACCAAGGCAACGAUCAGUAGGGGUUCUGAGAGGAAGGUCCCCCACAUUGGAACUGAGACACGGUCCAAACUCCUACGGCAGGCAGCAGUGAGGAAUAUUGGUCAAUGGGCGAGAGCCUGAACCAGCCAAGUAGCGUGCAGGAUGACGGCCCUAUGGGUUGUAAACUGCUUUUAUGCGGGGAUAAAGUGAGGGACGUGUCCUUCAUUGCAGGUACCGCAUGAAUAAGGACCGGCUAAUUCCGUG
Molecule: ribosomal RNA, 491 nt
Filed under: uncultured bacterium
Lineage: Bacteria
Description: partial 16S ribosomal RNA
Rfam family: Bacterial small subunit ribosomal RNA
Source: RNAcentral